GAUGAACGCUGGCGGCGUGCCUAAUACAUGCAAGUCGAGCGAACAGACGAGGAGCUUGCUCCUCUGACGUUAGCGGCGGACGGGUGAGUAACACGUGGAUAACCUUCCUAUAAGACUGGGAUAACUUCGGGAAACCGGAGCUAAUACCGGAUAACAUGUUGAACCGCAUGGUUCAACAGUGAAAGACGGUCUUGCUGUCACUUAUAGAUGGAUCCGCGCCGCAUUAGCUAGUUGGUAAGGUAACGGCUUACCAAGGCAACGAUGCGUAGCCGACCUGAGAGGGUGAUCGGCCACACUGGAACUGAGACACGGUCCAGACUCCUACGGGAGGCAGCAGUAGGGAAUCUUCCGCAAUGGGCGAAAUCCUGACGGAGCAACGCCGCGUGAGUGAAGAAGGUCUUCGGAUCGUAAAACUCUGUUAUUAGGGAAGAACAAAUGUGUAAGUAACUAUGCACGUCUUGACGGUACCUAAUCAGAAAGCCACGGCUAACUACGUG
RNAcentral lists this ribosomal RNA (497 nucleotides) under uncultured bacterium. RNAcentral's name for it is "partial 16S ribosomal RNA". It matches the Rfam family "Bacterial small subunit ribosomal RNA", at positions 28 to 507 of the family's 1533-position model. The record is from RNAcentral.